GAGCCACCUGCACCCACUUGAACCAACAGAAUUUAGCGCAAACCGAUGUUUUCGCAGCAGCCGGGUCUACACGCGAAUCUCCUGUGUGGUGGGAGCAGUCCCCUAGGAAGACGCCUUUCUGAAAAUCCGCGUCUUUCCCGAAAGGAUACCAGUUUAAAACCCAUUUAUUCGGAAGGGGCAUUGAAAAGCCUUCAAAUUCUUCUUAAGCAACCGUACUUUGGACUGAACUUUUAACUGAGUACCUUUCCCGCUGGAUUUUACUGCAGACGUGAGGGUGAGGGUUACGAGCCUUGGUGAUGUGAACAGAACGCCCAGGAACGCAUGGAACAUUCUUCUUCUGGCAGAUGUGGGUCCCUCCCCCGAUGCCUUAUGUUCGGGGGACUCACACAUUCAGGUUAUCUGCUCGGCUCUGUGGACCUUCUGCUUAACCCUCUCCUAUCGAAGUUCAUUUACUAUUCUGAAGAGACAGAUGGGCCGAGAGGCAGGAUUUUCUAAAACGAUUUGAGCAAAGUCGCGUAUAGCGCUGGAGGCAGAAACCAGGCAGCCGAGCUGGUCUCGGUUCCUUCUCGGCUUCCGAAGCUCAGGAUUAUCUCCAGUCUCACCAGUGGGAAUUGGGAGGCAGGGCCAUGUUCCUGUCCAGAGCUCAGGUUUGGGGCCAGAUUCCCUGAACCUAAUCACGGACUCCACCCUUGACUCCGUAGCUGGCCCCGCAUGAUGUGAAGAAGCCGUGGUUUCUUCCUCUAUCAAACAGGACUUCUUCAAGCAUCGCACUGGGCAAAAAUGCGCUUCAAUAAGGUGAUGAAUAUUACAGCUCAGUGCCUGCCGUAGAGUAGUGAGAGGCCGCAUGGAAAGUGGACCAUGACCACACUGCAUAUUCAAACAGAACUCUGAGCCACACCUGCCCUGAUCGGCUCAGGAAACCGACCACUAUCUAUGUCACGGGCCCAGGAAGCCGGCCUGCUCUCUGUAAGUCAGGAAGUCAGACUGUGGUGUCUGGGGAGCAAUCCAGGAAGCCAGACAGUAACUCCUGUAAAACCCGGCUCGGAAAGGGCAGCCUCCCCACUUUCUGCCCUGCGUCUAAUUUAGGACCAGCCAAAGUGAGCCAAAUACGCUCCCUGGCCAGUCCCCGGGAGCCUGCACCCAGCGUCCCCGCACCGACAGCCUGCCAUCGAGGCGGCCCUGAGCUGCGUCUUUCCCCCCAUAAGCCUUUCCCAGCCCUGUGCCUGCCGGUGAGCCCCCGCCUCACUCCAGGAACGCUGGCUGACUCCCUGUGGCUAACGGCAAUCCCUGAGUAGCCUCUGCUUUCCUCAUUUGGCUGGUCUUCCUGUCUUUCCACAGUAUCAUUCAGCGAGUAGUAUGAGUCACAAACACAAUAAAAUAAUUAUUGAGUUAAAUAUGAAAUCAAUGAAUCAUCAAGUAAUGCAUCUCCAGAAGACUCAGACGUAAUUUCUCUUAAUUUCAAUGGAAGCAUUAUUGAUCGUCUCUCCUUACAUUCAUUUUAUUUUGCCGAAUCUUGAUUUUCUUAGUAAAUUAUUCAUGGGUGGUA
Molecule: long non-coding RNA, 1546 nt
Organism: Felis catus (domestic cat)
Lineage: Eukaryota; Metazoa; Chordata; Mammalia; Carnivora; Felidae
Exons: 2
Source: RefSeq, a predicted model, not a curated record